GAUGAAGAACGCAGCGAAAUGCGAUAAGUAAUGUGAAUUGCAGAAUUCAGUGAAUCAUCGAAUCUUUGAACGCACCUUGCGCCCUUUGGCUAUUCCGAAGGGCAUGCCUGUUUGAGUAUCAUGAACACCUCAACUCUCAUGGUUUGCCAUGAUGAGCUUGGACUUUGGGGGUCUUGCCGGCCUAUGGGUCGGCUCCUCUCAAAUUAAUCAGCUUGCCAGUGUUUGGUGGCAUCACAGGUGUGAUAACUAUCUACGCUUGUGGUUUUCCAUCAGGUAACCUUCAGUGAUGGAGGUUCGCUGGGGCUCAUAAAUGUCUCUCCUCAGUGAGGACAGCUUUUUUGAACGUUUGAUCUCAAAUCAGGUAGGACUACCCGCUGAACUUAAGCAUAUCAUAGCGGAGA
RNAcentral lists this unclassified non-coding RNA (401 nucleotides) under soil metagenome. RNAcentral describes it as "partial contains 5.8S ribosomal RNA, internal transcribed spacer 2, and large subunit ribosomal RNA". The stretch from base 1 to 121 matches the Rfam family "5.8S ribosomal RNA", at positions 35 to 154 of the family's 154-position model. The record is from RNAcentral.